Non-coding RNA from Sesamum indicum (sesame), 1452 nucleotides. Lineage: Eukaryota; Viridiplantae; Streptophyta; Magnoliopsida; Lamiales; Pedaliaceae. The record is from RefSeq and is a predicted model, not a curated record.
CGCCUGCCGACUUUAAACAAGGGGAAGAUGCAAAACCCUAGCUUCCAUCCCGCCUCUCUAUAAGUACAGAACUUCCAUCCAACGUUUCCCUGCCCACAGGAACACACAAGCAGAGAGGGAGAGAGUGCGGAUUUACAAUGGUUCAUACAUCGCAUUUUAUUUAUAUACUUAUAUAUCUGGGCAAUGAUGAGUAAUUGUGAUAGGUCUCGUUCGUCGUAAUGGCAUUCCAUGCCUUGCCGACCAUCCUGAUAUAUCACCACCCAUAAACCGAGCCCAUCAGUUGUUUAUUCCGUUUUCUCUUGAAAUUUCUUUUGGUUUUUAUCCUUUGAAUUUUUUACUGUUGAUUUGUUAGUGUUUUGGCCUAUGAUUACAGACAAAUUUUAUUGACAAGCAUAUGUCUGAAGUACCAUAUGUGGAUCAACCUAAUCUUCUCUAUGAGGCCACUUUUUGGUUUUGAUUACUAGAUGUUGAUAUAUUUGGUUUCUGUCAACUCGUUCCCUUGAAGCAAAAGUAAUCGUGCUGCUCUUUAUAUGUAACUCCAGCGGUCUCUUUGCGUUUGGAGAACACUGGGGCAGCUAUAUGACGUACUUUUUUGGUAAUUUGAACAACUUGAAUUACAGAAUAUAUUAAACAACAAUGAUGAGUUCUACAGACCUGUAAUGAUUGCAGAUAUGAUUGCAAUUGUUUAUGAACAUCUAAGGGACUGAGUUGUUUAUAUAUAGAUAAAUCUUGUGUUCUGGAGGAUUUAGGUUAUAUUUCAUUUUUCUUGUGUUUUAAAUGAUCUAUAACAACUUUACCUUUUCUGAUUUUGUUUUUCAUGUUGUUCUGUUGCUUGCUCUGGCAGAAUUUCAAGUGAAGCUAGGAUAUUUGCAACACUUACUGUUGUAAUUUAAAGUUCUUCUAGACACUGAACUACAUCUUCCUUGCACCAUUAAUGGAUUUGCCUGCGUGCCCAUGUUGGGCACGUGGACUAAGGUCGGUGCUGUUGGUCAUCCUUUGGUGUUGGAACGGUGGAUUGCUGUUCAACUGUGACUGAGAGGUGGUAAUAUGAGAUGGGAGGAGGAAGGAGAUGAGAAAAAGAAUAAAGAAAAUAAAGAAGCAAUAGGAGGAGUGAAUGGUCUUCUAAUACAUAAAGGUUCCAUUUGGUUCAUGUGAUGCGGCUGGAUAAGAUUGCUUAUAUCGCAUGAUAAGGUUUGAUAUGAUUGUUUAUCAUGCAUAGUUAUGUUUGGUUGUCAUUAUUAGAGCUUGAAUUAAUACUGGGUCCAAUCCUACAAUCUUGAUUUAUGGGAUAAAAAAUAUGUACCAAGGUCAUGGUGUCGUUGACAGCAUUUUUUCUUAGAAAACAAAAACUAAAAAAGUUGGGGAGCCGUUAGUAGCUUAAUUUUGCAGCUAUAUCCCGUUUUGAGGUAUAGUUGCAUUUCCUUAAUAACUAACAAAAUGUAUCUUUCUUAA